GAUGAAGAACGCAGCAAAAUGCGAUAAGUAAUGUGAAUUGCAGAAUUCAGUGAAUCAUCGAAUCUUUGAACGCACAUUGCGCCCGCUGGUAUUCCGGCGGGCAUGCGUGUUCGAGCGUCAUUUCAACCCUCAAGCCCCCGGGUUUGGUGUUGGGGAUCGGCUCUGCCCUUCUGGGCGGUGCCGCCCCCGAAAUACAUUGGCGGUCUCGCUGCAGCCUCCAUUGCGUAGUAGCUAACACCUCGCAACUGGAACGCGGCGCGGCCAUGCCGUAAAACCCCAACUUCUGAAUGUUGACCUCGGAUCAGGUAGGAAUACCCGCUGAACUUAAGCAUAUCAAUAAGCGGAGGA
RNAcentral lists this unclassified non-coding RNA (348 nucleotides) under soil metagenome. Its description in RNAcentral is "partial contains 5.8S ribosomal RNA, internal transcribed spacer 2, and large subunit ribosomal RNA". The stretch from base 1 to 120 matches the Rfam family "5.8S ribosomal RNA", at positions 35 to 154 of the family's 154-position model. The record is from RNAcentral.